This 318-nucleotide long non-coding RNA is filed under the name Actinidia chinensis (golden kiwifruit). Its description in RNAcentral is "long non-coding RNA (ACHI_LNC005835)". The record is from RNAcentral. Lineage: Eukaryota; Viridiplantae; Streptophyta; Magnoliopsida; Ericales; Actinidiaceae.
CUAAAGAUAAUGUAAACAUGAGACUACUUUGCGGCCAAAAACCCGGAAAAUCCAUUUCUAGUUAUCUGCAUUAUGCAAAAUUGAAUUACAAAAUUCAGUACAUUCAAACAGGUGUAUAAGAACAAAGGUUAUAAAAAAGGAAGCUAAUUAUGCACCACCAGAACAAAGGUUAUAAAAAAGGAAGCUAAUUAUGCACCACCACCAGUAAAUUCAAUGUACAACGCAGAGCAUCAGAAGCAACCAAGUCAAGCUGCUUCGGCCUUGCCCUUCCCAUUGAACGAUCCGUGAGCCUUGUUCAUUUUCCGGACCCACAAGGGU